AUUUUUUAUAUUUUGUCAUCUUUUGCCAUAAUGAUUUUCAAAUGUAUACAUUUAUAUUUUUCUUCACAACUACCUUUAUUUUUGAUAUUUUUUUCUUUCACAAAAUAAAUAGCCACGGUAUCAUCCAUUUCAAAGGAGAACAAGAUACAGUUCACAGACCUCCAUUUUUAUUCCAUUUUUUUUUUACCAUCAACAACAUGCAUACGCAGUGAAUACAACUUGCACACACAGAGAUCAUAUUUCUUUUUCUUUCCUUCACUCAACACAUACUUCCAUUUUGGGAUAUACACAAAAAACAGGCACGACUAUAUUUUUUUAUUCCCUCUCUCCGCUAACCCGCCGGAGAACUCACCACUGGCGAACCCAUUGCCGGCCUCCUUUCUCCGAUCUCCAAGCAUCGAACUUCCAGCCAUCGCCACCGUAAAACCACCAGCUACACCAACAAAAUCAGCCGCCAUCAGCCACCCACGUCCAGAUCUGCCUCCACCAGAUCCGACGAACCACCAGCGGCGAAGAAACGCCAACAACCCGCCGAUCUCCAACACCACACCACCAACGCACUACCAUCGUCACUGCUUUACCAUACAUGGCCGGACUUGGGCAAUAUUUCGUUUCUCCGGCGUUGCUCCGGUGAACACCACUGAAGCAACGCCAUUAACAGCUUUCUGUGGUCUCCGAUCUUGAGGCUUUGAAUUUUUGGACAAACUCCCUUUGGAGCAUUUGUUUACAUGUUUCCACAUCUCUCCAAUAAUUUGGUUAUUUUGAAAUACUCGUCGGGAGUUGCAGUCAAAAGAGCCCUUAAAUUUGAUAUUGUAUUUUAUAUUUUCACACUUGUACAAAUAACAAAAAUAGUGAACUUUAUUUUUGGGUGUUGGGUGAGAUUUUUUUUAUUUAUACAAUUUCAUCUCGCGUUUAUGUGAAUUUAGACCGUUAAUAUUUACACUAAUAAAUUAAAUUAAUUAAUUUGUU
Molecule: long non-coding RNA, 969 nt
Organism: Capsicum annuum
Lineage: Eukaryota; Viridiplantae; Streptophyta; Magnoliopsida; Solanales; Solanaceae
Exons: 2
Source: RefSeq, a predicted model, not a curated record